This 73-nucleotide transfer RNA is filed under the name Camelus ferus (Wild Bactrian camel). It matches the Rfam family "tRNA". From Rfam's summary of the family: Transfer RNA (tRNA) molecules are approximately 80 nucleotides in length. Lineage: Eukaryota; Metazoa; Chordata; Mammalia; Artiodactyla; Camelidae. The record is from Rfam by way of RNAcentral.
GAGGGUAUAGCUCAGUGCUUAGAGUGUGUGCUUAGCAUGCAUGAGGUUCUGGGUUCAAUCUCCAGUACCUCCA